GAUGAACGCUGACGGCGUGCCUAAUACAUGCAAGUCGAGCGAACGGACGAGAAGCUUGCGUCUCGGAUGUUAGCGGCGGACGGGUGAGUAACACGUGGAUAACCUACCUAUAAUACUGGGAUAACUUCGGGAAACCGGAGCUAAUACCGGAUAAUAUUUUGAACCGCAUGGUUCAAUAGUGAAAUACGGUCUUGCUGUCACUUAUAGAUGGAUCCGCGCUGCAUUAGCUAGUUGGUAAGGUAACGGCUUACCAAGGCAACGAUGCAUAGCCGACCUGAGAGGGUGAUCGGCCACACUGGAACUGAGACACGGUCCAGACUCCUACGGGAGGCAGCAGUAGGGUACCUUCCGCAGUGGGCGAAAGCCUGACGGAGCAACGCCGCGUGAGUGAUGACGGUCUUCGGAUCGUAAAACUCUGUUAUUAGGGAAGAACAUAUGUGCAAGUAACUGUGCACAUCUUGACGGUACCUAAUAAGAAAGCCACGGCUAACUACGUG
This 497-nucleotide ribosomal RNA is filed under the name uncultured bacterium. RNAcentral's name for it is "partial 16S ribosomal RNA". It matches the Rfam family "Bacterial small subunit ribosomal RNA", at positions 28 to 507 of the family's 1533-position model. The record is from RNAcentral.